AAGGUGUGUCCAGCAGGAUCCUCCUACGAAAAAAGGCUUGAGGAUUUUAACAGAAGGGUUAACGAAGAACUGGUUAACUAUAAUUUCAAAAACAUUCAUCAAUUUAAACAGAUAUUCAUCCCUGUUCUUGCUGCAAAACACUUCUAUCUCCUAGUCAUCAACCAUUACAAUGCAACUGUGGAUGUAAUUGACAACAGGCCUCUACCAAGAAAUGUAAAAUUUGAGGAUAAAUAUGAGGGACACCCAGAAGUUGUGUUGGAUGCUUUUGCAAAAUAUAUGGGCACAUUUGGAUAUGAGGUAG
Spinacia oleracea (spinach) is the source of this 301-nucleotide long non-coding RNA. RefSeq lists it as uncharacterized. NCBI's taxonomy places the organism in Eukaryota, Viridiplantae, Streptophyta, Magnoliopsida, Caryophyllales, Amaranthaceae. The transcript has 3 exons. The record is from RefSeq and is a predicted model, not a curated record.